Molecule: transfer RNA, 90 nt
Filed under: Neolecta irregularis DAH-3
Lineage: Eukaryota; Fungi; Ascomycota; Neolectomycetes; Neolectales; Neolectaceae
Rfam family: tRNA
About the family: Transfer RNA (tRNA) molecules are approximately 80 nucleotides in length. Their secondary structure includes four short double-helical elements and three loops (D, anti-codon, and T loops).
Source: Rfam by way of RNAcentral
GGUUCUAUAGUGUAGCGGCAUCACAUCGGAUUUUGAUCCUUUCUUAUGAUAAACAUUCCGGUAACCCGGGUUCGAAUCCCGGUAGGACCU